ACUGGUUUGGGUGUUUAGCUGUUAACUAAAAUUUUACGGGAUCGAGGCCCGUCUAUUCAG
RNAcentral lists this transfer RNA (60 nucleotides) under Trachylepis affinis (Senegal mabuya). RNAcentral describes it as "tRNA-Asx". The record is from RNAcentral. Lineage: Eukaryota; Metazoa; Chordata; Lepidosauria; Squamata; Scincidae.